GACGAACGCUGGCGGCGUGCUUAACACAUGCAAGUCGAACGGAAAGGCCUGCUUUCCCUUGUGGAUUGCGGGUACUCGAGUGGCGAACGGGUGAGUAACACGUGAGUGAUCUGCUCCCAACUUGGGUAUAAGCCUGGGAAACUGGGUCUAAUUCCCGAUAGGACUGCAGGGUGGUGCCUGUGGUGGAACACGAUUUUCUAGUGGUUGGGGAUGAGCUCGCGGCCUAUCAGCUUGUUGGUGGGGUAAUGGCCUACCAAGGCGGCGACGGGUAGCCGGCCUGAGAGGGUGGACGGCCGCAGUGGGACUGAGAUACGGCCCAGACUCCUACGGGAGGCAGCAGUGGGGAAUAUUGCACGAUGGGCGGAAGCCUGAUGCAGCGACGCCGCGUGGGGGAUGACGGCCUUCGGGUGGUAAACUCCUUUCGACCGCGAGGAAGCCACCUGGUUGGAAGGGUGGUGACGGUAGUGGUAGAAGAAGCACCGGCUAACUACGUG
Molecule: ribosomal RNA, 494 nt
Filed under: uncultured bacterium
Lineage: Bacteria
Description: partial 16S ribosomal RNA
Rfam family: Bacterial small subunit ribosomal RNA
Source: RNAcentral